CGGUCGGUUGAGCAAGUGAAAGCCGCAGCCCGGCUGGUUUCCGCGCUCGCGUCGCCAUCACCUCCGCGAAGCCCCUGUAGCCCCGCUUGCGCCGCGUCGGAAUGAGCUCCAGGAAAGUGUUGCCCAUUCAGGCCCAAAAGCGGAGGCCGAAAAGAGAGAAACACCCUACAAAGCUGGAGCCUCAACAGAAAGCUCCUUUAGUUCUUUCUCCUCCACCUCCACCACCACCACCGCCACCUUUGGCAGACCCCACACCACCAGAGCCAAAGGAGGAGAUCCUGGAUCAGAUGAUGAGCAAGAGGACCCUGCGGACUACUGCAAAGGUGGCUAUCAUCCAGUGAAAAUUGCAGACCUCUUCAAUGGCCGGUAUCAUGUUAUUAGAAAGCUUGGAUGGGGGCACUUCUCUACUGUCUGGCUGUGCUGGGAUAUGUAGGGGAAAAGAUUUGUUGCAAUGAAAGUUGUAAAAAGUGCUCAGCGUGAUACAGACACAGCCUUGGAUGAAAUAAAAUUGCUCAAAUGUGUUCGAGAAAGUUAUCCCAGUGACCCAAACAAAGACAUGGUGAUCCAGCUCGUUGACUUCAAGAUUUCAGGCAUGAAUGGGAUACAUGUCUGCAUGGUCUUGGGAGUACUUGGCCACCAUCUCCUCAACUGGAUCAUCAAGUUCAACUAUCAAGGCCUCCCACCCAGUACGUUGUCUGAAGAGUAUCAUUUGACAUUUCCUUCAAGGGUUAGAAUAUCUACACAGUAAGACCAAGAUUACUCAUACUGACAUAAAGCCGCAAAACAUCUUGAUGUGUAUGGAUGAUGCAUAUGUGAGAAGAACGGCAGCUGAGACCACUGAGGGGCAGAAAGCAGGUAUUCCUCCUCCUUCAGGGUCUGCAGUGAGUACGGCUCCACAGCAGAAACCUAUAGGAAAAAUAUCUAAAAACAAAAAGAAAAAACUGAAAAAUAAACAGAAGAGGCAGGCUGAGUUAUUGGAAAAACGCCUGCAGGAGAUAGAAGAAUUGGAGCAAGAAGCCGAAAGGAAAAUAAUAGAAGAAAACAUCACCUCAGCUGCACCUUCCAAUGAGCAGGAUGGGGAAUACCCUUUUCUUAACUUG
Molecule: long non-coding RNA, 1100 nt
Filed under: Homo sapiens (human)
Lineage: Eukaryota; Metazoa; Chordata; Mammalia; Primates; Hominidae
Description: non-protein coding lnc-GGH-2:1
Source: RNAcentral